This 253-nucleotide ribosomal RNA is filed under the name uncultured bacterium. RNAcentral's name for it is "partial 16S ribosomal RNA". It matches the Rfam family "Bacterial small subunit ribosomal RNA", at positions 524 to 776 of the family's 1533-position model. The record is from RNAcentral.
UACGUAGGGUGCGAGCGUUAAUCGGAAUUAUUGGGUUUAAAGGGUGCGUAGGCGGUUGAUUAAGUCAGUUGUGAAAUACGGCAGCUUAACUGUCGAGGUGCAAUUGAUACUGGUUGACUUGAGUACAGACGAGGUAGGCGGAAUUGACGGUGUAGCGGUGAAAUGCAUAGAUAUCGUCAAGAACACCGAUAGCGAAGGCAGCUUACUAGACUGUAACUGACGCUGAGGCACGAAAGUGUGGGGAUCAAACAGG